AUGUUAAUUUACCAGCCCAUUGAAAAUCGUCAAAAUUUGAAAUCGAGAGGGGUGGGGAGUCCCCUAAAAGAAAUUUGGCUCAAUGAUUGAUUUCGAUGGAAACUCCGGGUCAAAUAGCUACAUUUUGAUGAUACAGUGCGCUUUCAUGGAACUCAAAUUAUUUUUCUGUUCUCUCAAUUACCAUAAUUUUGGUUACUUAAGGAGUGAGGUUUGAAAGAAGGAAGAAGUGUCAUAAGUCGAGUUACGGAGUCACUAAAUACUUCUGGCUAGUCACUUUAGUGUUUUCAAGGACGUCAAAGGCAAAUUACCGCGAUUGCAGUUACACAAUAACAUCUGGAAGCGAUCUAAUAUUGCACAAUUUAAGUAUACUUUAAGAUCGAGAGCAAUUGUUCGUAUAUGAAGAUGAAAAAAUAGCGAGAGGAUAGAAUAAUAAGAACAUCGUCGAAGUCGAAAUUGUGUGGCAGGAUACACGAUAUAGGCUGCGUUGUCCCGUUUUGGACUGUCAUUGUAGCUGAUUUAGAUACCAAUGAACACUAUUAUAUAGAAGAAAUCAAGUUCAAGGCGUUUCGAUGAUGAAUUUCCGAGUUUGAAAUGUUACUUUCAUAACUUUAAAAUAUUGAAAAAUGCUUUACUUAA
Long non-coding RNA from Zeugodacus cucurbitae (melon fly), 636 nucleotides. RefSeq lists it as uncharacterized. NCBI's taxonomy places the organism in Eukaryota, Metazoa, Arthropoda, Insecta, Diptera, Tephritidae. The transcript has 3 exons. The record is from RefSeq and is a predicted model, not a curated record.